Molecule: ribosomal RNA, 495 nt
Filed under: uncultured bacterium
Lineage: Bacteria
Description: bacterial SSU rRNA
Rfam family: Bacterial small subunit ribosomal RNA
Source: RNAcentral
CUGGCGGCAGGCCUAACACAUGCAAGUCGGGCGGUAACAGGGAUAGCUUGCUAUCUGCUGACGAGCGGCGGACGGGUGAGUAAUGCAUAGGAAUCUGCCUGGUAGUGGGGGAUAGCCCAGAGAAAUUUGGAUUAAUACCGCAUACGCCCUACGGGGGAAAGCUGGGGACCUUCGGGCCUAGCGCUAUCAGAUGAGCCUAUGUCGGAUUAGCUUGUUGGUGAGGUAACGGCUCACCAAGGCGACGAUCCGUAGCUGGUCUGAGAGGAUGAUCAGCCACACUGGGACUGAGACACGGCCCAGACUCCUACGGGAGGCAGCAGUGGGGAAUAUUGGACAAUGGGCGCAAGCCUGAUCCAGCCAUGCCGCGUGUGAAGAAGGCCUUCGGGUUGUAAAGCACUUUCAGCGAGGAGGAAAGGGGUGUUGCUAAUAUCAAUGCCCUGUGACGUUACUCGCAGAAGAAGCACCGGCUAACUCCGUGCCAGCAGCCGCGGUAAU